This 232-nucleotide ribosomal RNA is filed under the name uncultured Enterobacterales bacterium. Its description in RNAcentral is "partial 16S ribosomal RNA". It matches the Rfam family "Bacterial small subunit ribosomal RNA", at positions 99 to 334 of the family's 1533-position model. The record is from RNAcentral. Lineage: Bacteria; Pseudomonadati; Pseudomonadota; Gammaproteobacteria; Enterobacterales.
CGGACGGGUGAGUAAUGUCUGGGAAACUGCCUGAUGGAGGGGGAUAACUACUGGAAACGGUAGCUAAUACCGCAUAACGUCGCAAGACCAAAGAGGGGGACCUUCGGGCCUCUUGCCAUCAGAUGCGCCCAGAUGGGAUUAGCUUGUUGGUGGGGUAACGGCUCACCAAGGCGACGAUCCCUAGCUGGUCUGAGAGGAUGACCAGCCACACUGGAACUGAGACACGGUCCAG